AUUUGUUUGGCGUUGGUUUGGCGUGUUUCAAUGGGGGCGGCUGCUUCGAUGAUGCGAUCCAGCGAUGGAUAUCGUGGCGGAUUGUAGUCUGGUGGUGAAAGUGAACCUUCUGUCAGCCCGACGGCACGCGCGAACGACGGAGCUCGCUCGCGGUUCAUUUGCGUUUGCCUGGUAGCCGGCCCCAGCACCGUCUCCGCGGCCAAUGGCCACUAGUGCAG
This is a long non-coding RNA of Amphibalanus amphitrite, 218 nucleotides long. RefSeq lists it as uncharacterized. The record is from RefSeq and is a predicted model, not a curated record. The transcript has 3 exons. NCBI's taxonomy places the organism in Eukaryota, Metazoa, Arthropoda, Thecostraca, Balanomorpha, Balanidae.